RNAcentral lists this ribosomal RNA (422 nucleotides) under uncultured bacterium. RNAcentral's name for it is "partial 16S ribosomal RNA". It matches the Rfam family "Bacterial small subunit ribosomal RNA", at positions 359 to 773 of the family's 1533-position model. The record is from RNAcentral.
GAAUAUUGGACAAUGGGGGGAACCCUGAUCCAGCCAUGCCGCGUGUGUGAAGAAGGCCUUUUGGUUGUAACGCACUUUAAGCGAGGAGGAGGCUGCUCUUGUUGAUACCUAGAGAUGGUGGACGUUACUCGCAGACUCAGCACCGGCUAACCCUGUUCCGGCAGCCGCGGUAACACGGAGGGUGCAAGCGGUAAUCGGAUUUACUGGGCGUAAAGCGCGCGAAGGUGGCCAAUUAAGUCAAAUGUGAAAUCCCCGAGCUUAACUUGGGAAUUGCAUUCGAUACUGGUUGGCUAGAGUAUGGGAGAGGAUGGUAGAAUUCCAGGUGUAGCGGUGAAUGCGUAGAGAUCUGGAGGAAUACCGAUGGCGAAGGCAGCCAUCUGGCCUAAUACUGACACUGAGGUGCGAAAGCAUGGGGAGCAAAC